CCUGCCUCAUGCUGGGAUUAUAGGCAUGUGCCACCUUGCCUAUAUUUUGUAACUUUUUGAGUUGUUGAGUAGUCAGUGUGAAUGAACACACAUAUUUUAGUGUGCCUCAGAAUUACUGGGGAUACUGAUUAAACGUGUGAGUUCUGGACUUCUCUACUGCACAGGAGAUUCAAAGGUAUAAAAUAAGCUGGUGGAUUCUGUGGCUCAGCAGUUCAGACAGAGCAUGGAGGGAAUGGCUUAUCACUGCUUCACAGUGACUGGUGCUUCAGUUGGGAAGACCAAAAGGCUGAGGAUCACUUACAUAAAGGGGUCGGAGUCACCUGUAGGUUUCUUCACUGAUGUGUCAAAUGCCUAGGGUCAUAUUGGGCCUCUCUCUCCCUGUGUGUCAUACCUUAUUGCUCAAGUUUUCUCCAAGAUGGCCAUCUCAGGGUGGCCGAUGACAUCUUCCAUUAUUGCUCAGAGCCCCAAGAGUAACUAUGAAAGUUGUAUGGAUUUUUAAACACUUAUUUAUAAAAAUCAUAAGACUACUUUUUUGUCUGAUUUUCUAAAUUAUUGAGGUAUAAUGGUUAUACAAAAAAAACUACACAUAUUUAAUGUGUGUAAUCUGAUGAGUUUGAGCACACAUGGAUAUCUGUGAUAACUUUGUUACAGUUAAGGCAAUAAAUGUACUUAGUGCCUCCCUC
Molecule: long non-coding RNA, 683 nt
Organism: Marmota flaviventris (yellow-bellied marmot)
Lineage: Eukaryota; Metazoa; Chordata; Mammalia; Rodentia; Sciuridae
Source: RefSeq, a predicted model, not a curated record